UGAGUAACCUGCCCUUAACUCUGGGAUAAGCCUGGGAAACUGGGUCUAAUACCGGAUGUGACUCCUCAUCGCAUGGUGGGGGGUGGAAAGCUUUAUUGUGGUUUUGGAUGGACUCGCGGCCUAUCAGCUUGUUGGUGAGGUAAUGGCUCACCAAGGCGACGACGGGUAGCCGGCCUGAGAGGGUGACCGGCCACACUGGGACUGAGACACCGGCCCAGACCUCCGUACGGGAGCAG
RNAcentral lists this ribosomal RNA (236 nucleotides) under uncultured bacterium. RNAcentral's name for it is "partial 16S ribosomal RNA". It matches the Rfam family "Bacterial small subunit ribosomal RNA", at positions 118 to 347 of the family's 1533-position model. The record is from RNAcentral.